UCGAGCGGACAGAUGGGAGCUUGCUCCCUGAUGUUAGCGGCGGACGGGUGAGUAACACGUGGGUAACCUGCCUGUAAGGCUGGGAUAACUCCGGGAAACCGGGGCUAAUACCGGAUGCUUGAUUGAACCGCAUGGUUCAAUUAUAAAAGGUGGCUUUUAGCUACCACUUACAGAUGGACCCGCGGCGCAUUAGCUAGUUGGUGAGGUAACGGCUCACCAAGGCAACGAUGCGUAGCCGACCUGAGAGGGUGAUCGGCCACACUGGGACUGAGACACGGCCCAGACUCCUACGGGAGGCAGCAGUAGGGAAUCUUCCGCAAUGGACGAAAGUCUGACGGAGCAACGCCGCGUGAGUGAUGAAGGUUUUCGGAUCGUAAAACUCUGUUGUUAGGGAAGAACAAGUACCGUUCGAAUAGGGCGGUACCUUGACGGUACCUAACCAGAAAGCCACGGCUAACUACGUGCCAGCAGCCGCGGUAAUACGUAGGUGGCAAGCGUUGUCCGGAAUUAUUGGGCGUAAAGCGCGCGCAGGCGGUUUCUUAAGUCUGAUGUGAAAGCCCCCGGCUCAACCGGGGAGGGUCAUUGGAAACUGGGGAACUUGAGUGCAGAAGAGGAGAGUGGAAUUCCACGUGUAGCGGUGAAAUGCGUAGAGAUGUGGAGGAACACCAGUGGCGAAGGCGACUCUCUGGUCUGUAACUGACGCUGAGGCGCGAAAGCGUGGGGAGCGAACAGGAUUAGAUACCCUGGUAGUCCACGCCGUAAACGAUGAGUGCUAAGUGUUAGAGGGUUUCCGCCCUU
RNAcentral lists this ribosomal RNA (798 nucleotides) under uncultured bacterium. RNAcentral's name for it is "bacterial SSU rRNA". It matches the Rfam family "Bacterial small subunit ribosomal RNA", at positions 62 to 840 of the family's 1533-position model. The record is from RNAcentral.